UAAGGAGUCGGACCUGCCCAGUGAAUUUUUUUUAACGGCCGCGGUACUCUGACCGUGCAAAGGUAGCAUAAUCAUUUGCCUUAUAAUUGAAGGCUAGUAUGAAUGGUUUGACAAGAAUAUAGCUGUCUCUCUAUAAUUUUAUAGAAUUUUAUUUUAAAGUGAAGAAGCUUUAAUAUAAUUAAAAGACAAGAAGACCCUAUCGAGCUUUAAAAAAAUCUUUAGAAACUAAUUAAUAAUUGAUUUUUAAAAAAUUAGCUAUUGAAUAUUUUGGUUGGGGCGACUAAGGAACAAACAAAGCUUCCUUUAAUAUAAAUAACGUUCAUGUGUUGAUCCAAAGUUUUUGAUUAAAGAAAUUAGUUACCGUAGGGAUAACAGCAUUAUCUUUUUUGAGAGCUCUUAUCGAAAAAAAGGUUUGUGACCUCGAUGUUGGACCAGAAUAUCCUAAAGAUGCAGAAGUCUUUAAGGGUUGGUCUGUUCGACCAUU
Molecule: ribosomal RNA, 484 nt
Filed under: Gemmula speciosa
Lineage: Eukaryota; Metazoa; Mollusca; Gastropoda; Neogastropoda; Turridae
Description: partial 16S ribosomal RNA
Rfam family: Bacterial large subunit ribosomal RNA
Source: RNAcentral